UACGUAGGGUGCGAGCGUUAAUCGGAAUUACUGGGCGUAAAGCGUGCGCAGGCGGUUCGUUAAGACAGAUGUGAAAUCCCCGGGCUUAACCUGGGAACUGCAUUUGUGACUGGCGAGCUAGAGUAUGGCAGAGGGGGGUAGAAUUCCACGUGUAGCAGUGAAAUGCGCAGAUAUCAGGAGGAACACCAAUGGCGAAGGCAGCUCGCUGGGACGGUACUGACGCUGAGACGCGAAAGCGUGGGGAGCAAACAG
RNAcentral lists this ribosomal RNA (252 nucleotides) under uncultured bacterium. Its description in RNAcentral is "partial 16S ribosomal RNA". It matches the Rfam family "Bacterial small subunit ribosomal RNA", at positions 524 to 775 of the family's 1533-position model. The record is from RNAcentral.